CAGCAGGAGAACGUGGGGCCAGAAAAAAAGCACCGAGCUUGAGGGACUAGACUAAUCAAAAAAUGAAAUAACAUGGCAACAAUUACACUGAUGAGUGAGAGGGAGGCUACGGAUGCAUUGAGACACCUAUGGCACCGCAGACUCCACGCAUUCAGCAUUCCGUGUUUAGUGUCUUGUGUUUUUGAGAGCAGGUGAUGAACAGCAUGAUAAAGGAUGGUGAUAGCCACUUUUCAAAUGUGGAGCUAUCCGCCCACAGCUCCUCAGCUUCUCAAAACAAGUCUGUGCCAAGUUGUACAAGAUGGAGGAUGAAUGACAAGACCAUCCAGUGACAAGUGUCUUCACUGUGCAAGCAACAGCUCCUGUCAUUGGACUCAUGUAAUCAUCCAUCUAUCCAUCCAUCAUUCAUUCAUUCAUUCAGCACAAUAUCGCGAGUUCUGAACUAUGCUGUGAAGCUUACACGAGACCGCCUGUGGGAAGCUUUUAACACACUGCCUGGCCCAUGGAACUAUUGGGCCAGUGCCUACUGUGUGCUCUGAGCACCGAGUUGAGGGAACUAGUGGAAAGGAGAGAGUCCAGCUGCUUCCAGCCAGUCAAGGAGGCUGUCCAAGUAAUGUGUAUGAGGAAGGAAUGCUGCCCAGCACAACCAGUGUUGCAGGGGAGCGAAGCUGUUAUCCACCAUCAUGGAAACAAGCAAAUCAUGGCUUCCAAAGUCCUAAAGAAAUUUGCAUUCCAAAUCAACCACAAGGUAUCAGUGCUAGAAUGGUAACCUGAACCACCAAUGAAAGGUAAAGAAACUGAGUGUUUUUUGUCUUGUUUUCUGAAUCAGUAAUGAUACAUUCUGAGAACCUAUGUUAAGUUUCUGACAGAGGCCAUUGAUCUGACUCCAUCUCAGAGGGGAGUUAUGUCCAGACUUGUGUUUCAGCAACUUAGGAAAGAAGCGUUGCUUGGCUUUCUUGUAGGCUACCUCCAAGAGUUUCCACUGUUUUGAAAACAGGGUGUUCCAUUUGGUAGCCCAGUGGGAUGGAACCUUCCUGAUCUACUUUGAGGGGCUUGUUUGGAGCUUCUAGCAGAGGAGCACAGUUACUCAUGUACCCUUGACUAAAGAUCAAUCCUACUCCAUGGAGAAGAUCAAACUCUUCCGCAAAAGUGCAAUUCUGGGAAGGACAUAUGUGGAGCAGCAGGAGAAAGGCCACAGCCACCUAGACAGUCAGAUCAGCUGAUUGAAUCCUGGUGAUGAUGAAGUGAUGGAUGUCACACCAGAUUAUCUAAUUUACAUCCCUAAUAUGCUUAGUGGAGGAGAUCACACUACCACCUCCAUUACCAAAUUCCUGUCAAUUAUGGAACACUUGGUUUGUUCCCAGCCUACACUAGUAUAUGGGUGACACCUCCUUGACUUGUAAGUAUCUAACAACUACCCUACAACAGUGGUUCUCCAAUCUUAACAAAUGUUAGAUUCACCUGAGGGGUGUUAAGGCAGAGUAUUGGUCCCUACCCUCUGAGUUUUUGAUUCAGUCAGUCUGGUACGGAGAUUGAGAUCCUGGGAGCCAUGCUGCUCAGCUGAGGGACAGCUCAUUAAGAGCCUGCUCUAAAAAGUCAGCCCUUGUAUGCCUCCUAUCUCAGAGACAGAGAAGCAAGAGUUAGGAUUAUGUGAAGUCACAUGGCCAUUGAAAAUUCAGGGUUAAGUCCAAGUCAGUUGACCCAAAGCCAACAAAAAGAAGCAUUUUUUUCCACAUGAUUCUUCAUAACCAGAAAUAUGCUCAAGAUUUUCCAAGGCCGACCCCUUGCAUCACAUCUCACCACCCUCGCUUUUUGCUAUUUAUAAAUGAAAUUUUUGCUCCAAUAACUUAACUUUCCCUCUUUCCUUCCUAUUCAUCUUUUACUAUCACUUUCUAUUGUUAAAUUCAAUCCAAAAUCUCCUUCUCUGGGCAAUUUUUUUAAUUGACUUUGUUCUAGUUCUAGGAUUGCUCAUUGGCAUUUCUAGGCUGGUGCUAAAUGGGUUUACAUGUCUUGAGAAGCUGUUUUCAGAAUAUUCUUUACAUAUCCAAGUGUUUUCUGACUCUCCAAAUAGACUAAAAGUCCUUUGGGAGCAGAGAUUGCUGUUGUCAAGUCCCCACUGGUUCUCACUGCUCCAUUAACUUGAGGCUCAUCGAUUACUUUCUGAGCUUGGCGGUGGGCUCACCCUAUUGCUGACAACAAGAAGUCUGGUUGCUUUCAUCAACCCUACAUUUCACAGGACCUUCUAAUUCUGAGAUUGAACUGGGACUGGGGCAUUUCAUUUAUUUGCUGGGAAAGUCUAAAAUACAAGAAAUCAAGGUUUUCUGUGUUGGCGAGAGUGGGUGGAGAUGGUGAGGUUAAGAAGACUGGCUGAGGAUAUAUAAUUAAAAUUGAACUCUGAUUGCAACAUUUUCUGCCAGGAAUCUCUUUGAAAAACAUUAAUGAAAGAUAAGAGUUCAUUUCCAACAGUUUUUCCUGAAAUAAAAGAAGAACGAUUGUCCUUUCAAAAGACAGAGACUGGGUAACUGAGAUCAAAGAGAGUCUUUCUGAAUUUAUCCAACUUGGGUGUUUGAUGACUGAGUGGUAUCAUUGUUCCCAUUGGUGCAUUAAUUAACCUGUUAACCAAUUUAAAAAUUGAAAGUAAGUUCCUUGAACAAUCAUAACAUUGUAUAUACAGACAUCCAUAAUGUAUAUUGUAGUGUCUAUUCAGAAUGGUUACAAAGGCAAUGAUUCGUAGCUCAAUUAGCAAUUGGUUACAUUCAUUAGAACUGGUAAGCAUGUUAAGCUAUGAUGUUGAAGAUGGAUGUGCAAUGGAGGUCUAUAGGUUUCUUUCUUUAGGCAAUGAUUCCACUAACCACAGAGGGAUACCAUCCAGAAUUACAGUGCUGUGUGAUGCUAGACUGCUUCAGCUCCGUUGUUUACCUUUCUGCUCUCUGGCUGGAACGGUGAGACAACUCUACACCCUGACGGUAGUGAGAAAAGCCAGAGUUCCUGGGUCUUGGUGAGUGUGCUGUAUCCAGGGAACAAACCCAAAGGUCACUGUGGAAUGUCCAAGCAGUUCUCAACAUGCAGGGACUGAAAAGAAGCUGCCAGAAGAUAACAGUGUAAGACAACAAAGACACUCUCUUUAAAAGUGUCUUCACUCUUUAUUGUUACCUUUAUGCUCCUUUCUCUCCACUGGUGUUUUUCUAGUCCAAACCCACAUCAAGACACACAUGUAUGGUGAUAUUUUAUUUGUGCUGAAAUGUGAUUUUAUUUGUAUGUUAAUAAAGUUGCCUCGAGAUCAGAAGUCACAGAGAGCCAUAAGCAGGAGUAAGGCGGUGCUAGCAUGUCCUUAAUCCAAUCACAUGGCAGGCAGAGUAUCUGUGGUCAAGGACACAUCCACAGCAAGGUGACCUGAACUUUUAAUCCCAGUACCAACCAUAGAAGCCUAGAUGUCUGUAUAAACAAGCAGUGACGAGGAAAUCAUAGAGCCAAUGAGAAGGCAGAACAGAAAGGCAAUAAAAAGGACACAGAAAGAAGGUCUCUCUGUCUCUCAGGGGAAGGACAGCAGUGGGUAGUAAGAUAAGGUGGUCUUAGCUCUUGGCUACUGCUCUGAUCUCUGGGCUUUUAACUCUGCAUUUGGCUCUGUGUUUCUUAUUUAAUAAGACCAUUUAGAAUUUCAACUACACACAUGCCUCCUUCCCCAUUCUGUUUCAACUAUAGGAGUGUUCUUGUCGCUAACGCAUCCUUUUCCUAGGACCCACCAUACCACCAUACCCGAGUGAAAGGCAGUUCUUGGGGUUAUUAUCCUCCAUUUCCAGCACUGAGAUUAGACGGCAAAAGCCUAGUGAGGAAAGAGGUGGGAAGACCCCCUUAGAGAGAAAUGGGCUGAGGAGUAUAGACAAUUACCUUUUCUCAUCAGAGUCCCCAAGACAUGGGAGAUGAGACUGAAUAAGGUUUCUUGUAUGACUUUGACUUAUAUCAUUUGUAUAAAUGUAAAUACAUAUACAGAGAGAGAAAAUAAAUGAAUAAUAUUUUGAGGUAGGGUGAGAAGAGGAAAUGGGGAAAUGUGUAGCUAAAGAAACAAAGUAGAAGAUAUACAGAUGAACAAAUCCAGAGACCUAAUAGACAGUAGGAGUAUAGUACCAAAUAGUAGUGUGUUGUAGCAAGGAGUUUUUCUGAAUGUACACACACACACACACACACACACACACACACACACACACACACACAAACACACACACACACUACAAAUUGGAAGAUGAUGAAUAUGUUUACUCACUUCUCUAUAGUAAUCAUUUUAUUGUCUCUAUGUAUUAUGUAACUUCAUGCUGUAGAUGCUAAAUGAUAGUCUAUGAAGUUUAUUUUUUAGAAUUUAGUUUUACAAACAAAAGUCUAUAAGCAAAGUAUGAUAUGUGAAUGAUGUGUUUCCUUUGGUAAUCUUGCAAAGACUGUCAUUAACAUCCAAGUAUGGGGGCUCACUCCUGUAACACCCGAAUUUGGGUGCAGACAAGAGGGUUGCCAUAAGUUCCAGGGCAGCUUGGGAGCUAGAAAGUGAAACUCUGUGUCAGACAGACAGACACAGAGAGAAAGGGAGAGAAUGGGGGAGAAAGAAGGAAAGACAGGGAGACUGAGAAUUUGUUAACCAUAAAGGUAGCCUUAUUCUUCCUUAGCAGACAUCAUUGAUAAGUGUAAAGCAAAAUUUAAUCUAGUUGGAUGAAUUUCAAGCACAUCAUAUCUUAUUUUACAGAAUCUGGGCACUUAGUAAGGAGAAGUGAUUAUAGUAAAGUAAGGGAGUUAUACUGAAGUUUUUUUUAAAAAAACUGAUAGGGAAUGGGAAGAGAUUAACUGUGAUGAUGGAACUUGUUGGCUAAUGUUUCCUAUUAUGGAACUCAGGCUAUGCAAGUGUGUGCAUUUUUCAGAACUUAGUGUACUUGUCUAUGCAUUCAUUGUGUGCAAAUGUCACUUUAAAAAUGGAACAUUUAAAAAUUGAGCUACAAUUAAUGAUGCUCUUAUUGUACUAAUAGCCAUAGUUAACUAUUUGAAAGGCUUCAAAAGAUAAACAUGGAGAGAAAUAGAUAAUAAAUUUGUGUGUUGUAAGAAAAGUAUAGUAAUUAUGUGAUAGUAAAAUCUAGAUGUGGGUAAAUGGAUGUCGAUUGUAAAUCCCUUAAGCUUUGUAUUUGAACUUUUUCAUAAUGAAAUAAGAUCAUUGUUGAGAUGUUUAACAUCAUUCAUCAGCUAAUUACUAUGAUUUUUGAGUAUCCUAAUUAUUCUAGUGACUGAACAAAACUGAUGCUUUAAUAAAUCUCAUGAUAGCCUCUAAUGUUGUGUUUAAGAAACAUCACCUGGCUUUGCGUAUUCCCUGUAGAAAGCAAUUCUUUAUGGAAACGAUGCCCAUCUUCCAACCACACAGAAUGCUGGUUUUGAGGGGGAGGGAGCAGCCUUGGAUGUCCUCAGAGACUGGCACAUGCUUGUCUACAUUUGCUGCUACAUUAAUCUUAGCCUCAUUUUUAUCUGUUUAAGAUAGUUCUGUGACUUUUCUCCUAUUUUUAUUGUGUGAAAAACUCCACAGUGGUGACAUUUGAAUUGGAUGUGAAGUAUGAGUAGCAAUUCACCAAGAAAGAGCUGGGUGUGAUUGUCCAGCCUCGAGAUCCCAGCACUCCAGCACUUAUGAAAACAGGCAGGAAAAUAGUUGAGUUUGAGGCCAGUCUGUGCUGAACUUUGAGACUCUGUCUCAAUGAAACAAACAAACAAAACAAAGCAAAAAAGAACAAGAGUGGAGGAGAAUGUGCCAUUUCUCCUCUUGGCUAUUUUGACUUUUAGGGGUGCUGUUUAACUCAUGAAUUCAACAUCAGAGUGAAGGAGCACAGGAAUUGCAAUUUUCUAUUUCAAACACAUGCCAUGGUGGACCACUCUCAACAUCAAUCUAGCAUGUGCACAGACCUUAUAGAGGACCUGCCUCAGGAACUCGGCCUGGACACAGACUGAGUACUCAACAAAAGAAUUAGAUGACGUGAUGCAUGCAAGAGACCUGGUAUCAUACUUAGCUUCUAUUUCUUAGACUAGAUGGCAGUUCUAUUGGUAUCAUCACCAUCAUCAUCGCUGUUGAUGUUGCGAGCAGCAGAAGCAAGAGCUUCUCCAUCUUCAGCCCCUUGGUACUCAUUAUCGCUGUACAGAUGACUUCCGAGUGGAUCAAGCCAGGCACUUUUGGAAUGACAGUCAAAGCCUACAUUUUUACUAUCUUUGGGGAAGAAUAUUAUAGCUGACCAGUUGGUGGAGCAAGCACAUUUCCAUGGCUCUUGACGGCUAUCUGUGCAGACGGGCUAAAAAAUCAAGAGACCCGGAUGCUGCUACUCAUCAAAGAGGAAAAAUUCUUAAACUCUAGGACUGAAUUACCUUUGUUGAAUGAAUGAAUUAUUCCUCAACGUAUCUGUUACAAGAUUUUUCAACUAGCCUGCUUCCUAACAUUUAUGAACUGCCUCUCUGAGAUAAGUCCUUUAUCAUGUCUAUCUUUAUAUCUCCCAAUGAAAAUGUCCCCUCUGGUUUCCCAUGCCAAUCUAUUUCUUUCCUAACUAUAAAAACAGACUCUACCCCCCCCUUUCUUCAAUAGUCCUAGUGAAAAUAUAUUAACAAACAUAAAGGCCUUUGUGUUUACAUAAAUGGACAUAAACAAAAACAUAGAUUUGCUGUCAUUUCCAAAGCAUUUCCAUCUUAGUUUGGUUUUUACUAGCAUGUGAAUUCUUCCUGCAAAAAUCUACAUCAUCCAUUAUUCUAAUUUUUCCUUGACUAAUAGAAAUCCCACAAUUGACUUAUGACUUAUAAGGGCCUUAGAAAAACAUUAAAUUAAUGUUCUUUUAAAAAACACAUUCACUUUUGUCCAUGCUUGGAAUUCCCAAAUAGGAGCAUUAUAAAAUGGAACAAAAUAGGAACACUGAGAAGUUAAAAGAUGUGGCCCGAGUUGAAUGCCACUGAAAGAACAUCAUGAGAACUUUGGAGAAGUCACUCUCCUCGGGUAGACACAGAGAAUGGGGAACCAGACAGGCCCACUUGAGCUGGAGAAACAAUGGCCCGUGGCGGGUCCUAUGCCUCAGUGCCAAACAACAAUGCAGAGACCUCUUGACGGAUCCUGGCGUCGUCGCGAGUGG
Molecule: non-coding RNA, 7121 nt
Organism: Peromyscus maniculatus bairdii (prairie deer mouse)
Lineage: Eukaryota; Metazoa; Chordata; Mammalia; Rodentia; Cricetidae
Source: RefSeq, a predicted model, not a curated record